RNAcentral lists this ribosomal RNA (435 nucleotides) under uncultured bacterium. Its description in RNAcentral is "partial 16S ribosomal RNA". It matches the Rfam family "Bacterial small subunit ribosomal RNA", at positions 29 to 507 of the family's 1533-position model. The record is from RNAcentral.
AACGAACGCUGGCGGCAUGCCUAACACAUGCAAGUCGAACGAUUGCCUUCGGGUGAUAGUGGCGCACGGGUGCGUAACGCGUGGGAAUCUGCCCUUAGGUUCGGAAUAACAGCUGGAAACGGCUGCUAAUACCGGAUGAUAUCGCGAGAUCAAAGAUUUAUCGCCUGAGGAUGAGCCCGCGUUGGAUUAUGUAGUUGGUGGGGUAAAGGCCUACCAAGCCGACGAUCCAUAGCUGGUCUGAGAGGAUGAUCAGCCACACUGGGACUGAGACACGGCCCAGACUCCUACGGGAGGAAGCAGUGGGGAAUAGUGGACAAUGGGCGCAAGCCUGAUCCAGCAAGGCCGCGUGAGUGAUGAAGGACCUAGGGUUGUAAAGCUCUUUUACCCGGGAAGAUAAUGACUGUACCGGGAGAAUAAGCCCCGGCUAACUCCGUG